This is a ribosomal RNA of 364 nucleotides. It matches the Rfam family "Eukaryotic small subunit ribosomal RNA", at positions 103 to 385 of the family's 1831-position model. The record is from Rfam.
AAACCGGUCAUUAGCAUGAUACAGUCUUUGGAUAGCCUUUGAUGCUUGAGGUCAAAAUAUAGCGACCAGGCUGAAUAUCUUGCUGUGCCUCGACUAGCGCUUCAAUUUAUUGUUGAUGGAGCAUGUUCUGUUUAGAUCUUCCAUUUUCUGAUGCUUUAGGUAUGUCCUACUUUGCUACUCUGCAGUAACAUUUAAUGCGGCAAUCGCUUCAUCUAAAGCACAAGUUUAUGGCUCCCUAGUGAUUUACAAUAACUUAAAUAAUCGCAUGGCUUUGUGCCGGCGAUGGUUCAUUCAAAUUUCUGCCCUAUCAACUUUCGAUGGUAGGAUAGUGGCCUACCAUGGUUUCAACGGGUAGAGUGGUACU